GACGAACGCUGGCGGCGUGCUUAACACAUGCCAGUCGAACGGAAAGGCCCCUUUGGGGGUACUCGAGUGGCGAACGGGUGAGUAACACGUGAGUAACCUGCCCUUGACUUCGGGAUAACUUCAGGAAACUGGGGCUAAUACCGGAUAGGAAUCCUUGCUGCAUGGUGGGGGUUGGAAAGCUUCGGCGGUUUUGGAUGGACUCGCGGCUUAUCAGCUUGUUGGUGGGGUAGUGGCUUACCAAGGCUUUGACGGGUAGCCGGCCUGAGAGGGCGACCGGCCACAUUGGGACUGAGAUACGGCCCAGACUCCUACGGGAGGCAGCAGUGGGGAAUAUUGCACAAUGGGCGGAAGCCUGAUGCAGCAACGCCGCGUGCGGGAUGACGGCCUUCGGGUUGUAAACCGCUUUCAGCAGGGGCGAAGCUUGUGGUGACGGUACCUGCAGAAGAAGCACCGGCCAACUACGUG
Molecule: ribosomal RNA, 465 nt
Filed under: uncultured bacterium
Lineage: Bacteria
Description: partial 16S ribosomal RNA
Rfam family: Bacterial small subunit ribosomal RNA
Source: RNAcentral